CUUUAACUGUUAGUUUACGUGUAGUUCAUAGGGAAUAAGACACUAGAAAAAUAAGGUGGAUAUUGCACGAUGGACACGAGUGUGUGAUGAUGGUGGUGAAGGUCUCGUGGCCUGAGAAGUUGCACCAAUUCUUCGUUUCUUAGUACCAAAUCUGACUACUGUCUUACCACUUCUCCGUGAACAUAAGUAUAAUAAUUUUCUCUUGUUUUAGCUGCUGCGAUGAAUCAGUAUUGUAAUUUAGACGCCAAUCUUCUUGCAGAAGACAUCAGCUCCAGACCACGACUUUUCCCAGGCAUCUUCCAAGAUACUGUCACAUCUCAGGUCAAGGAUUCACGUUCAGUAGAAGACAGUGAAGGGGUUAAAAAGUGAAUUUGCAACAGGCAAAGUGAAAACUCUAGUAUCAUGACCUUUUGAUGAUUUGGUAAAGUAUUAUAGUUAAAUUAGCCCAACAUAUAAUCAAAGUCAAUAAGGCUGGAGAAGACAAAGCCUUCGCGAAUAAUCAACAUUACUCACAAAAAAAUGAGUGACAGAAUAUGUGAAGCAAUUUACAAUGCCAGCAAUUUCCAGAGAUGAUGUGCACGAAAUUAUAGCCUUGUGAUGGUAAUGCAGGCAGUUUCCGAGUCGAUCGUAACAGGUCUUGGUCUGUCAAUGUGAGGAAGAUUUGAAGAUCCACAUCUUGCUCCCGGAAGAUACUCAUGUAUGAGCUCAGUCCCAAUUUGGUCCAGCAGGGUCUCAAGGUCGCAGUGUCAUGAAGAUCAUGAAGUGUAGACAGUGAGUGUCUCGAUAGUUUUACAAUGAUGAAACAUUAGGCUUUACAUAGAGGGUGUCAUCUGGGGACAAGGAGAAGUCCAUAGUGAUGAACAGCAUCAAACAUGGAAAUAUUAGCUGCUGAAGCAAAUACAUCUGAUCCCCCAUAAUCAAAUUUAUGUAUUAGAAAGACCAUAUGAAGAUGAAGAAAAACUCACUUGUCAGCCCCUCUUCCUCCUCAAGUAAAUUGUGACAAAAUUUUAAGUAAAUUCAGUCUGCUAAGACAUGCCACUUUUAGGAAUGUCACACAUACUUUCCAUGACAUUCUACAGUCAAAGUGGAAGCACAGAAAUUUAACAGUUUGACAGACCAGGAAAGGAAAAAAAGAGUAGUGGUACCAAUACUUUUAUAUAGAAGUGAGGCAUGGGAUCCAAAAGCUGUAGCAAGGAGAACUGAAGACAGUGAAGAUUUCAUGUUUGAGAGGAAUGUGUGAUGUAAUAUGCAUAAAAUUCAGAGCAUAAAAAUUAGAUGAUGGAGCAGGCUUACCAAAAUGGCUAAUUCAGAGGACUUAGAAGGGGUUAUUGAGGUGGUUUGGGCAUUUAGACAAGAUGGAGUAUAAUAGGAUGAUCAAGAGGGUGUAUAAAUCUGAGGCAGGGGGGAUGGGGAAGGAGGGAGAGGGUAGGGGUCAUCCCAGAAAGGGUUGAAGUAGGUUUUCAGUUCUAGGGGCUUGUGCAUCCACUAGAUUUGUACAAGCAUCUUUGAUCAGUGUGGAAGAUGAGUAGUAUUCUUGGCUUGACCUGCUACUGAAGUGUGAGCAAAGUAACAUUUAUGUAGGGACUCAGGGAAAAACUGGAUAGCCAGACUGUGUCGUGGAGAUGGAAAGCAUAGUGCCUGCAUUCUGAAGGAAGGGUGGGGAUACUGCAGCUUGGAGGAUUCUUCGAACUGCAAUAUUUUGAGUGAUGGUGAAUGUGCUUACUAUUUUUCAAUGUUUAUAAUUGUGUUGAACUAUGUGGAAGUGUAAGGACAAUUAUAUGUUUUACAUAAUAUUUAAUACUUGACACUAAACAAUAAUCAACAGUAGAAUUUUUUAUGGUUGAUGAGGUAAAAAUUGGAGUGAAAAUAGACCAGGACAGCACAAAAUUUCCUUUAUAAAAUGAGGAUUAAUAAUGAAUUAUUCCAACCACAGUAUUGUGACUUUUACUUUUUUUAACAUUAAAAUAUAAAUUGUAACUUCCAUUUUUCCUGAUCUGUGCCAGAGCACUACAUAAAUGCUGAAAUUUAAGUACUGUAUAGAUUUUUUUUUUGUAACAAGUCGGCUGUCUCCCACUGAGGCAGGGUGACCCAAAAAGAAAAUCCCCAAAAAGAAAAUACUUUCAUCAUCAUUCAACACUUUCACCUCACUCACACAUAAUCACUGUUUUUGCAGAGGUGCUCACAACACAAUACUGUAUAGGUAUAGUCAUUAUAAUGAUGGAUGAAAAUUAUCACUUGCAUUAUAUUUAUUACCCUACAUCAUUUAUCACAAAGCAAACCUGACAUAAC
Cherax quadricarinatus is the source of this 2289-nucleotide long non-coding RNA. RefSeq lists it as uncharacterized. The record is from RefSeq and is a predicted model, not a curated record. NCBI's taxonomy places the organism in Eukaryota, Metazoa, Arthropoda, Malacostraca, Decapoda, Parastacidae.